RNAcentral lists this ribosomal RNA (912 nucleotides) under uncultured bacterium. RNAcentral describes it as "bacterial SSU rRNA". It matches the Rfam family "Bacterial small subunit ribosomal RNA", at positions 8 to 916 of the family's 1533-position model. The record is from RNAcentral.
AGAGUUUGAUCCUGGCUCAGAUUGAACGCUGGCGGAAUGCUUUACACAUGCAAGUCGAGCGGCAGCACGGGGCAACCUGGUGGCGAGCGGCGAACGGGUGAGUAACACAUCGGAACGUACCCUGUCGUGGGGGAUAACGAGUCGAAAGAUUCGCUAAUACCGCAUACGACCCGAGGGUGAAAGCGGGGGAUCGCAAGACCUCGCGCGACUGGAGCGGCCGAUGGCGGAUUAGCUAGUUGGUGGGGUAAAGGCCCACCAAGGCGACGAUCCGUAGCGGGUCUGAGAGGACGGCCCGCCACACUGGGACUGAGACACGGCCCAGACUCCUACGGGAGGCAGCAGUGGGGAAUUUUGGACAAUGGGGGCAACCCUGAUCCAGCCAUUCCGCGUGAGUGAAGAAGGCCUUCGGGUUGUAAAGCUCUUUCGGCAGGAACGAAAAGGCUCUCUCUAACAUAGGGGGUCAAUGACGGUACCUGAAGAAGAAGCACCGGCUAACUACGUGCCAGCAGCCGCGGUAAUACGUAGGGUGCGAGCGUUAAUCGGAAUUACUGGGCGUAAAGCGUGCGCAGGCGGCUUUGUAAGACAGAUGUGAAAUCCCCGGGCUUAACCUGGGAACUGCGUUUGUGACUGCAAGGCUUGAGUGCGGCAGAGGGGGGUGGAAUUCCACGUGUAGCAGUGAAAUGCGUAGAGAUGUGGAGGAACACCGAUGGCGAAGGCAGCCCCCUGGGUCGACACUGACGCUCAUGCACGAAAGCGUGGGUAGCAAACAGGAUUAGAUACCCUGGUAGUCCACGCCCUAAACGAUGCCAACUAGGUGUUGGGGAAGGAGACUUCCUUAGUACCGUAGCUAACGCGUGAAGUUGGCCGCCUGGGGAGUACGGUCGCAAGAUUAAAACUCAAAGGAAUUGACGG